This 175-nucleotide ribosomal RNA is filed under the name uncultured bacterium. Its description in RNAcentral is "partial 16S ribosomal RNA". It matches the Rfam family "Bacterial small subunit ribosomal RNA", at positions 1326 to 1500 of the family's 1533-position model. The record is from RNAcentral.
UUGGAAUUGCUAGUAAUCGCGGAUCAGCAUGCCGCGGUGAAUACGUUCCCUGGCCUUGUACACACCGCCCGUCACACCAUGGGAGCCGGUAAUACCCGAAGUCAGUAGCCUAACCGCAAGGGGGGCGCUGCCGAAGGUAGGAUUGGCGACUGGGGUGAAGUCGUAACAAGGUACC